Molecule: transfer RNA, 62 nt
Filed under: Polypheretima elongata
Lineage: Eukaryota; Metazoa; Annelida; Clitellata; Crassiclitellata; Megascolecidae
Description: tRNA-Phe
Source: RNAcentral
AUUUAGGUAGCUUAAAUAUAAAGCAUAUCUCUGAAGAAGAUAAGACGGGACUCCCCUAAAUA